Molecule: ribosomal RNA, 1096 nt
Filed under: Staphylococcus aureus
Lineage: Bacteria; Bacillati; Bacillota; Bacilli; Caryophanales; Staphylococcaceae
Description: bacterial SSU rRNA
Rfam family: Bacterial small subunit ribosomal RNA
Source: RNAcentral
UUUAUGGAGAGUUUGAUCCUGGCUCAGGAUGAACGCUGGCGGCGUGCCUAAUACAUGCAAGUCGAGCGAACGGACGAGAAGCUUGCUUCUCUGAUGUUAGCGGCGGACGGGUGAGUAACACGUGGAUAACCUACCUAUAAGACUGGGAUAACUUCGGGAAACCGGAGCUAAUACCGGAUAAUAUUUUGAACCGCAUGGUUCAAAAGUGAAAGACGGUCUUGCUGUCACUUAUAGAUGGAUCCGCGCUGCAUUAGCUAGUUGGUAAGGUAACGGCUUACCAAGGCAACGAUGCAUAGCCGACCUGAGAGGGUGAUCGGCCACACUGGAACUGAGACACGGUCCAGACUCCUACGGGAGGCAGCAGUAGGGAAUCUUCCGCAAUGGGCGAAAGCCUGACGGAGCAACGCCGCGUGAGUGAUGAAGGUCUUCGGAUCGUAAAACUCUGUUAUUAGGGAAGAACAUAUGUGUAAGUAACUGUGCACAUCUUGACGGUACCUAAUCAGAAAGCCACGGCUAACUACGUGCCAGCAGCCGCGGUAAUACGUAGGUGGCAAGCGUUAUCCGGAAUUAUUGGGCGUAAAGCGCGCGUAGGCGGUUUUUUAAGUCUGAUGUGAAAGCCCACGGCUCAACCGUGGAGGGUCAUUGGAAACUGGAAAACUUGAGUGCAGAAGAGGAAAGUGGAAUUCCAUGUGUAGCGGUGAAAUGCGCAGAGAUAUGGAGGAACACCAGUGGCGAAGGCGACUUUCUGGUCUGUAACUGACGCUGAUGUGCGAAAGCGUGGGGAUCAAACAGGAUUAGAUACCCUGGUAGUCCACGCCGUAAACGAUGAGUGCUAAGUGUUAGGGGGUUUCCGCCCCUUAGUGCUGCAGCUAACGCAUUAAGCACUCCGCCUGGGGAGUACGACCGCAAGGUUGAAACUCAAAGGAAUUGACGGGGACCCGCACAAGCGGUGGAGCAUGUGGUUUAAUUCGAAGCAACGCGAAGAACCUUACCAAAUCUUGACAUCCUUUGACAACUCUAGAGAUAGAGCCUUCCCCUUCGGGGGACAAAGUGACAGGUGGUGCAUGGUUGUCGUCAGCUCGUGUCGUGAGAUGUU